GAGAAACCCCAAGUACUCUGCAAUUCUCAGCUUCCACCUUUGCAAAGUCGUAUAUCAAAUCUGUAAAAAUAGAGUCGGAUCGGAAGAGGAAGAAGACAUCGAUCUCUGCUGCAGAUCGACCGCCGGAUAAGCACAAGAAAAAGUCCAAAAUGCCGUCAUCCUCUUCCCGCUACGGCGCCGGUGGAGACAAAGUGAAGGCGUCUCAUAUACUCAUUAAGCAUCAGGAGUCUCGUCGCAAGUUUUCCUGGAAGGAUCCGGAAGGUCGUGUUAUCUCCAACACCACCAAAGAAGCUGCCGUUUCUCAGCUGAAAUCUAUCCGUGAAGACAUUGUCUCUGGCAAAGCCAAGUUCCAGGAUAUAGCCGCCACUCAUUCUCACUGCAGCUCAGCCAAACGCGGCGGUGAUCUCGGUUCAUUUGGCAAAGGUCAGAUGCAGAAACCUUUUGAAGAAGCAACUUUUGCUCUAAAAGUUGGCGAGAUAAGUGACAUCGUGGAAACUGAGAGUGGUGUUCAUAUCAUCUUGAGAACGGCAUAAUGUGAUGCUUGCGGAAGAAUGAUUGGAAUACUCACCCAGAAAAUACUCAUAUUAAAAGAUCACACCAAGGAUAUUUUUUCUUACGCCCUUCUAUUCCCUGUGGUUGUGGUGAAUAUUUAAGAAAACUAGAAGAAAAGGAAAGACUUGUGUGUUUGUUUGAUUAUUUAGUUUUCUUUCAGUUGGUACUUUUGGGCAUGUUUUAUAUUUGCCAGAAACCUUUUGAC
RNAcentral lists this unclassified non-coding RNA (757 nucleotides) under Hevea brasiliensis (rubber tree). The record is from RNAcentral. Lineage: Eukaryota; Viridiplantae; Streptophyta; Magnoliopsida; Malpighiales; Euphorbiaceae.